Molecule: long non-coding RNA, 2559 nt
Organism: Aquila chrysaetos chrysaetos
Lineage: Eukaryota; Metazoa; Chordata; Aves; Accipitriformes; Accipitridae
Exons: 3
Source: RefSeq, a predicted model, not a curated record
CUCCGUGUGCAGAUUUCACGGGGCGUAAGGCCUUCUGAACAUACCUUCUGGAAGGCAGCUGAAGGUCCUGUCACUUUCCAGCAUUUGUGCUUUUGCUCAGAGAUACUACAGAGCAGUCAAGAAUUUCCUUCAAGACAGCCGCUGAGCCAAUUUGUCCUCUUUGUCUGGUGCUGAAAAUGUUGUUAUAUCUAGUCUGUACUGCCCUGGUUUGGUAGUACAUUUUUGACUUCUGAACUAGAUUUUUCAGUCUGCAGUCUAAUCACUUUAGCAGAGUUUAUUUUCUGAAACUGGCAUCUUUAUGCCUCUUUUGGGCAGCAGAUUUUUUCACUUCCUAGAGUCUGAAACUGCUCUCAGAGCUUCCUUCAAGUGUCCCUGGCAGUGAAAGCAUAAGGAUUAAUUUAUGAAUUUUUGACUAAUAUUAAAUACUCAACUUUAUAGGAAAUAUUUCAAGUAUGUGAAAAUACUUCUCUCUGACAGACUAUAUGAAAAAUAUUUAUAUCCUUUUCCUAACCUUUGUGUACUUGUCAGUUUGCCACAUGAUCACCUAAGGACUGGCCAUUUGUGAAUUUCUGGAAAGACUCUAACAUGUCACAGUUGUUGCUGAAAACAAAUCACCGUAUAGCAUUUAUAGUGCUGCUUUAUUUUUUAAAUAAUAUGUUAGUCUCAUAUUAAAAUUAUUCAAUCAUUAUUACAGUAAUCUAGAUAAUCUAUUAUUGUCUUUUUGUUAGCUUUAUAUGUAGUGUAUUUUUUAUAUACAUGUAUGCAUGUUUAUGUGUGUGUGCGCAAAUGUGUAUUUUUAUCUUUAUAUCUGUAUAAGUAAUACAAUUAUAUUUACCAUCUCUCCUUAUGAUAAAACUCAAAGUGCAUUACAAACUAUAGAUCCUCUCCUUUUCUGCUGAAAUCACUGCCUCACUAAAAUGUUUAACAACUAAAUUGUUUAACAGUGUUUAUAGAAGUGGAGUAAGUCAGAGAAAACAGUUUUGAGAACACCACAACAUUAUACUUACAACACUGUCAGAUAACACAUAUCUUUUAUACAGCAUGUGAAUGCAUAUGCACUUCACAUCUUACUGCAAUGCAAAUCAUUUGGCAAUACUACGUCUGUGGAGCAGAUAUGUCCAAGGAAGUUCUCGGAGAUUCUUCUUUCCUUUGGGACAACAUUAUUUAUGAUCUAUGGUUCAUGUACAUUUACUUCCAAGAUUCUGCUUUAUAAUUCCUUCAGAGGUUGUUCUUAGUGCUUCUGUCAGAUAUUGACAUCAAUUCUGUGCAUACUGGGGAGGCAAGAAAUUGGAACUGCAAUCUGCUGUUGUCCCUGAAAGGAGAAUUUUGCCUCAAGAGAAGAACUUGUCAGUGCCAGUGAAGGAGAACAGUUGGAGCCAUGAGUAUUUUACUACAUGAAGAUGACAAAAGCCAACUUUCCAUUAGUGAAUCAAGUAUCCUAAAAUAUCAGAAGCUUUUCAUCUCCAUCAUUGUAACAACAUAGGUGACCAAGUAACCAUCCAUAGAUGGGACUUCGUGACAGCUUUGCAGAGUUCAUUUCUGCACUUCUAGACUUCCCAGAAAGCCCAGAAGGGAAUAACUCUGAAAUGAGCCAGUGAACCUCCUGUGUCAGACUAUGAAUUGUUCUGAAUAUAUAUCCUGGUCUAAAUGACAUGUGGCAUCGCAGAAGCAGCUUUUUCACAAUUAAGCAAAGCUGCCAGAACACGGAAUGGUAACUAUAGCUCCAAACACGUACAGCAGGGCAUUGGCCCCUGCCUGUCUCAUGAACAGUCCUCCCUGUGGCCAUGAUGAAGUCAGCCUUUGCACUGUGAUUGUGGGCUGUUGGUCUUGAAUCCAUAAUAUUUUGUCUGCAACAUUCUUAAUUUUGAGCAAGAUUCUUAAUUAUUGCCAGCUAUAAGGUUGGACUUUUGCUGCUUUGACUGCCCAUUCAGUUUAGCCAAAAAAAGUUAUCAGAUGUUAAAAGCCUCUCCUGGGGUAAAUUCUUCACCAGCGGUCAUAACAGAAAAGGAAUAUUUCCAGGAACUAACGACAUUACAAUCUCACAGGCAAUUCAUUUUCCUCAUGAAUGUGGAAAAGACAAAAGCAAUGGGAAUGGAGAGAAAGGACGAUAAAGUCAAGAGACAGACUCUUCAUCUACCAAGUUGUGAAAUUGGGCAGGUUUUUCUGAGAGAAGGUGAAAUCAAGAUUAUUUGUGUAUAUAGUGUCCAUACAUGUACUCCUCCUACCCAUCCACUGUUGUCUGCAUGAAUUAAAGUCUGAGGAAUGAAAGAAAUGCUUCAAAUCUCCCUGACGAUGUCUUAAUAAUUGCCGGAAGUGUGAUAAGUUCCUUUGUCUUUCAGGAAAUGACUCAGGACUGGAGCUAGUUUUAAUAUUUGGAUAGAUCUUUUGGUCAAAUAAGGCUAAGUGACCUAUUCCUUCACCCUAUUGUUCCACUCUCUUAUGGGCAAUUACCACAGAAGAUUACAACAUGGCUACAAUUACUGUUAGCUGCUUAGUUAAAUGGAGUUAAUUUAAAAUAAAGACAGUGCUUAUGUCCAAAAAAUUAAAGAAAAAGGAAUG